GACGAACGCUGGCGGCGUGCUUAACACAUGCCAGUCGAACGGAAAGGCCCUGCUUUUGUGGGGUGCUCGAGUGGCGAACGGGUGAGUAACACGUGAGUAACCUGCCCUUGACUUUGGGAUAACUUCAGGAAACUGGGGCUAAUACCGGAUAGGAGCUCCUGCUGCAUGGUGGGGGUUGGAAAGUUUCGGCGGUUGGGGAUGGACUCGCGGCUUAUCAGCUUGUUGGUGGGGUAGUGGCUUACCAAGGCUUUGACGGGUAGCCGGCCUGAGAGGGUGACCGGCCACAUUGGGACUGAGAUACGGCCCAGCCUCCUGCGGGAGGCAGCAGUGGGGAAUAUUGCACAAUGGGCGGAAGCCUGAUGCAGCAACGCCGCGUGCGGGAUGACGGCCUUCGGGUUGUAAACCGCUUUCGCCUGUGACGAAGCGUGAGUGACGGUAAUGGGUAAAGAAGCACCGGCUAACUACGUG
This 468-nucleotide ribosomal RNA is filed under the name uncultured bacterium. RNAcentral's name for it is "partial 16S ribosomal RNA". It matches the Rfam family "Bacterial small subunit ribosomal RNA", at positions 28 to 507 of the family's 1533-position model. The record is from RNAcentral.